Molecule: long non-coding RNA, 509 nt
Filed under: Mus pahari (shrew mouse)
Lineage: Eukaryota; Metazoa; Chordata; Mammalia; Rodentia; Muridae
Description: lncRNA (MGP_PahariEiJ_G0005290.1)
Source: RNAcentral
UUCCAGGAAACUUAUUAUGCCCACUGUAAGAGAGGCUGACAAGGGUCCACAUGGGGUCUACCACUCUCUGGGGUUUCUACUUUCUGGGGGUACAGAAAGUAGAAACAUGACUCAGAGUUCCUGCCUCAUGGAGUGUGGGUCUGGGAGUUUCCAGGAACACAUCAAGGAAGAAGCAAAAAGCAAGCUGUUCUGCGGCACCAGAACAUAUGAAAAGGAAGCGCAGUUUUCCACACACAGUCGCUUCCCGUUUCAGACCCCCAUGACUGCAGAGUUCCAGAAAGUAAACACUGUAGAUCCAAGCGGAGUGCCAGAUGGUGGGCUGAAGUAGAACCGGCUCACAGAGGCUGGAACACACAGGGCUGGGAGCUCCUUGCUCUCUUCGUCUGCUUCCACCUAUUCAGAUGUCCCUGAGAUUCAGGAAUAGAAGCUUUCACUGAAGAGACAUCAGGCAUCUAAGGAUUGCUUGACACAGUGGAAUAACAGGCACACAGGGGAAGCUUCUCCCAGUG